RNAcentral lists this long non-coding RNA (3741 nucleotides) under Papio anubis (olive baboon). RNAcentral's name for it is "lncRNA (ENSPANG00000045802.1)". Lineage: Eukaryota; Metazoa; Chordata; Mammalia; Primates; Cercopithecidae. The record is from RNAcentral.
AUGCACUCAUCUGCUUUAAAAGGAAAGGAAUUCCUACUUGACCACUUUUCCCAUCUGAAAUUCUUUCCUCAAACUCAAAAUAUAGUAAUCAGGAGUAGAAAGUUGCUUUAUUUCAGGAUGUAUCAGAGCCCUUGUCCAGUAGCUUUCUGGAAACUCAGCAUAGCAAAGUGCAUAGCUUUUGCAGGUUGGGCCAUCUUAUCCCAAUGUCCUAAACUGGAUUCACUUUCAGCAGUCUCAGGGGUACUUGUUUGUCAGUGUUUGGUCUAAAUUGCUUUCUGGUCCUGUGUGAUAAGUACUAGUUUUGUAUAAUAGCUUCUCACUGAUCACUUUUUCUCCAGUUAAAUUUAUACGACCGGUAUCCCAAAAUGAAGGAGAGGCUGCCUACGUACCAGUUUAACUUUACUGAUUCCCUUAUGCUGCAUGUAUGCAGUGGCAUGAUCUCAGCUCACUAUAACCUCUACCCUCUACCUCCUGGGUUCAAGUGAUUCUCCUGCCUCAGCCUCCCGAAUAGAUGGGAUUACAGGCAUGCGCUAUCAUGCCUGGCUGUUUUUUGUAUUAUUAGUAGAGAUGGGGUUUCACCAUGUUGGCCAGGCUGGUCUUGAACUCCAGACCUCAAGUGAUCUACCCACCUUGGCCUCCCAAAGUGCUGGGAUUACAGGUGUGAGCCACUGCGCCCAGCCAAUCUGCAUAACUUUAGAUGAGAAGUUGGAAACAAGUUGGGAGAUUCAUGAGACAUAAUCUGUUCAGUAAACUUGUGCUAUUAUUUCUGCCAGCAGUCCCAAAGAAACAAUCAUCUGUAUGUGGUUAAAUCAUUGCACUUCCUCCUAAAUAAAUCCCUCCUUUUGCAUUUCCUGGCAUGAUUAGCGAAUUUUUACUCCCUCUUUAUGCCAUACUCUAGCCAUAGCCAACUUUAAACCUUCCUGUUCACUUGUAUUUACAAUAUGAAGUCCCAUUCAGGGAACUUUUAUAAUAUCUUGUGAUAAUUCUUAUUCCUUUUCCACUCUUACUUCCCUCAAAUUCAAGUUUUCAUUUAUGGAAUUUAAUGGGUCCCCUUUCUACACUUAUAUUGUUCUUGUAAUACCUUUUUCAAAAACACUGACCACAUUGUACUAUAACCUUUUAUUGAAGGCCAGUGUCUUCUACUGAGAUUUCCAAGACAGAGCUAUCACUUAUGUGCCUCAGUGUCUCCAGAUCCUAGUGCAGGGCCUGUUAACGAAUAAGUUCUCAAUAAGUGACUGUUGAACAAAGAUUUUCUUAGCGCAUCUGCUAUCUCUAGUCUCUCCUCCCAUGUAUCUUCAGCCAAACCAUGAUAUUAAAAUUCUUUUUUUUUUUUUUUGAGACAGGGUGUCACUCUGUCACCCAGACUGGAGUGCAGUGGUGCUAUCACAGAUCACUGUGGACUGGACCUCCCAGGCUCCAGUGAUCCUCUCACCUCAACCUCCUAAGUAGCUGGGACCACAGGCAUGUGACACCCAGCCUGGCUAAUUUUCAAUUAUUUAUUUUUUUUUUUUGCAGAGAUGGGGUCUCUCUGUGUUGCCCAGGCUAGAUUCAAACACUCCUAAAGUGCUGGAAUUACAGGCAUGAGCCACCACACACCCAGUCUUUUUUUCUUUUUUGUUUGUAUAAAUUUAAGGUGUACAAAUGUGAUGAUGUUACAUGGAUAUAUUGCAUAGUCGUGAAGUCUGGUCUUUAAGAGUAACCAUCACCUAAAUAAUGUACAUCUGGUCUUUAAGAGUAACCAUCACCUAAAUAAUGUACAUUGUACCCAUUAAAUAAUUUCUCAUUCCUCAUCUCCCUUUCACCCUUCCUAGUCUCCAGUGUCUAUUAUUCCACAGAGGAUGUCCAUGUGUACACUUUAUUUAGUUCCCACUUAUAAGUGAGAACAUAUGGUAUUUGACUGAGUUAUUUUACUUCAGAUAAUGGCCUUUCAUUCAUGUUGCUGCAAAAAACAUGAUUUCAUUCUUUUUUAUAGCAGAAUAGCACUUAAUUUUUUUGUGUAUAUAUAUAUACACACACACAUAGAUACACAUAUACAUAUAUAGUAUCUAUGUAUAUAUACACACAUAUACAUAUAUACAUAUAUACACAUAUACAUACAUAUAGUAUUUCAUUUGUAUACAUCUAUGUAUUAUAUAUAUACUAAAUACUAUUCUGCUAUAAAAAAAGAAUGAAAUUAUAUAUAAUUUUCUUUGUCCAAUCAUCUGUUGAUGAACAUUUACGUUGAUUUCAUAUAUUUGCAAUUGUGAAUAGUGCUGUGAUGAACAUAUAUGUGCAGGUAUCUUUUUCACAUAAUGAUUUUUUUUUCCUUAGACACCUAGUAGUAGAAUUGCUGGACCAAAUGGUAGUUCUACUUUUAGUUUUUGGAAGAAUAUCCAUAUUGUUUUCUUUUUUCCUUUAAUUUUUAACUUUUGUGAGUACAUAGUAGGUGUAUAUAUUUGUGGGGUAUAUGAGAUGUUUUGAAGCAGUCAUGCAGUGUGAAAUAUGCACACCAUGGAUAAAGGGGUAUCCAUCCCCUAAAGCAUUUAUCCUUUGUGUUACAAACAAUUCGAUUAUACUCUUUUAGUUGUAAUAAAACAUAAAAUGAUUAUUGACUAUAGUCACCUUGUUGUGCUACCAAAUUGUAGAUCUUAUUCAUUCUUUCUAUUUUUCUUUGUAACAACCACCCCUAUCUCCCGCCCAGCCCCCCAUUACCCUUCCCAGCCUCUGGUUCUAUUAUCUAUUCUUUAUGCCCAUCUUUCUAUUCUUUAUGUCCAUGAGCUCAAUUAUUUUUAUUUUUGGAUCCUACAAAUAAGUGAGUACAUUUGAUGUUUGUCUUUCCAUGCCUCACUUAUUUCACUUAACAUAAUGAUCUCCAGUUCCAUCUAUGUUGUUGCAAAUGACGGGAUCUUAUUCCUUUUUAUGGCUGAAUAGCACUCCGGUGUGUGUAUAUACUCCAUUUUCUUUAUCCGUUCAUCUGUUGAUGGACACUUAUGUUGCUUCCUAAUCUUGGCUAUUGUGAACAGAGCUGCAACAAACAUGGGAGUGCAGAUAUCUCAUCAACAUACUGAUGUCCUUUCUUUUGGGUAUAUACCCAGCAGUAGGAUUGCUGGAUCAUAUGGUAGCUCAAUUUUUAGGAACCUCCAAGCUGUUCUCCAUAGUGGGUGCACUACUUUACAUUCCCGCUAACAGUGUAUGAGAGUCCUUUUUACUCUGUAUCUUUGCCAGCAUCUGUUAUUUUUUGCAUUUUUGAUAAUAUCCAUUUGGACUUUGGUAAGAUGGUAUCUCAUUGUGAUUUUAAUUUGCAUUUCUCCAGUGAGUAGUGACACUGAGAAUGCUUUUUUUUUGGCUUGUUGGCCAGAUGUCAAAAUUCCAAAAGUAGAUUUCCAUGCAUGAAACUCAACUGGUCAAAAACACUCAUUGACACUAUAUUGCUUAACAAGGUGAAGACUCCUUAGCUUGAUACUCAAGGCCUUCUUAAUCUGCACGGCCUUCCGAAUUUUUUCCCAAUCAUUGCUCCAGGAAGACUACAACAAAGCUGAGCUGCACUACUUGCGUUUCUCCUAUACCAAUUGCCCAUCUGUGCUUUGCUCAUAUAGUUUCUCAAACUCAAAUGGCUUCCUCCUUUUUUAAAAAAAAAUCUUUGAGUUCCCUCUUCAUGUAUUCUAUAACCCUUCCAAUUCUAAGUUACUAAGUAAACUUUUAUAUCAUUCCUAACAUGUCCCAGAUAGUGUGUGCAGCAGGGGACAUAUAAAUAUAGCAGAG